Molecule: transfer RNA, 72 nt
Filed under: Loxodonta africana (African savanna elephant)
Lineage: Eukaryota; Metazoa; Chordata; Mammalia; Proboscidea; Elephantidae
Rfam family: tRNA
About the family: Transfer RNA (tRNA) molecules are approximately 80 nucleotides in length. Their secondary structure includes four short double-helical elements and three loops (D, anti-codon, and T loops).
Source: Rfam by way of RNAcentral
UCCCGGGUGGUCUAGUGGCUAGGAUUCGGCGCUUUCACCAUUGCGGCCUGAGUUCGAUUCCCAGUCAGGGAA